Molecule: ribosomal RNA, 253 nt
Filed under: uncultured bacterium
Lineage: Bacteria
Description: partial 16S ribosomal RNA
Rfam family: Bacterial small subunit ribosomal RNA
Source: RNAcentral
UACGGGGGGUGCAAGCGUUGCUCGGAAUUACUGGGCGUAAAGCGUCCGCAGGCGGAGCAGCAGGUCGGUCGUGAAAGCCCGGGGCUCAACCCCGGAACUGCGAUCGAAACCAUUGCUCUUGAGUCCGGGAGAGGGGGGUGGAAUUCCUGGUGUAGAGGUGAAAUUCGUAGAUAUCAGGAGGAACACCGGUGGCGAAAGCGGCCCCCUGGCCCGAAACUGACGCUCAUGGACGAAAGCGUGGGGAGCAAACAGG